RNAcentral lists this ribosomal RNA (389 nucleotides) under uncultured bacterium. RNAcentral describes it as "bacterial SSU rRNA". It matches the Rfam family "Bacterial small subunit ribosomal RNA", at positions 29 to 417 of the family's 1533-position model. The record is from RNAcentral.
AUUGAACGCUGGCGGCAUGCUUUACACAUGCAAGUCGAACGGCAGCACGGGGGCAACCCUGGUGGCGAGUGGCGGACGGGUGAGUAAAGCAUCGGAACGUAUCCUGGAGUGGGGGGAUAACGUAGCGAAAGUUACGCUAAUACCGCAUAUUCUGUGAGCAGGAAAGCAGGGGAUCGCAAGACCUUGCGCUCUGGGAGCGGCCGAUGUCGGAUUAGCUAGUUGGUGGGGUAAAGGCCUACCAAGGCGACGAUCCGUAGCGGGUCUGAGAGGAUGAUCCGCCACACUGGGACUGAGACACGGCCCAGACUCCUACGGGAGGCAGCAGUGGGGAAUUUUGGGACAAUGGGCGGAAGCCUGAUCCAGCCAUGCCGCGUGAGUGAAGAAGGCCU